GUUCUAAUUCGUGUGAGACAUCCCAUAAAAUUGAAACGAUACAUAGAAGAUUAGUAUGAUCCCUGUGCUAGGAUGACCGCAUAAAUCGAGAAAUAGUACAAAUUAAU
This 107-nucleotide small nuclear RNA is filed under the name Cephalotus follicularis. The record is from RNAcentral. Lineage: Eukaryota; Viridiplantae; Streptophyta; Magnoliopsida; Oxalidales; Cephalotaceae.